GUAAUGGGAUGGAGGCAGGAUGAGCACAUAUUCCUGUUUGCCUGGGACAGUCUUGGUUUAUAGUUGUUGGGGGGGGGGAUUGGUUGUUUUUGUUGUUGUUGUUAUUGUUGUUGGCAUAAUUAUCAGUAGCUGUAUCUUUAAUUUCAAGAUUAUCUUUGAAUGAUGUAGUGGAUCAGAUCUCCUUCACUGGGCUGGGGCGCCUACCCCACAGUGGUCAUAAGGGCUGGUUGCUGAAAACUCACAGCCGGUCCUUCCCAGGAGAAAUGACCUCAGCUGAAUCAGGUUCAACAUUAUGGGGAGGUUAUGCUCCACUUUCCUAGACUCCAUCCCCAAGCAGCCAGAGUCUGAAAACUGACUAAUGAAGCCAGGUUGACUCCCUUGCUCAAGGGAGGAGCAGAGAGAGAGAUUGAACAGCAAGCAGACUCCAUGCCCAGCACAGAGCCUGACUCGGGAAUUCCAUCUCACGACCCUGAGAUCAUGACCUGAGCCGAAACCAAGAAUUGGAUGCUUAACCAACUGAGCCACCCAGUGGCCAAGGCUUCAGAAGAGGCACUUAGCCUUGAGGCAGGAUACUCCACGUGCCAGGAGCUGUCUUGUGAAUAGCGAGUGUCGCUGUGGGCUAGAUGAACAUGGAGAAGAAAGGAGAGAGCUGCCUGCACCGAACAAGAAACACAUUCGCCUGAUGCAGCAGUCCUGCACAGUCUCACUGAUCAUUUCAUUAGUGAGCCGAAUCACACUGAAGCUUUGAAUUCACACUAAACAUAUUACUGGCGGGCAAACCACAACCUAAUCUGUGUCCAGUAAGAGCAAAUCAAUAUUUUUCUCAGCAUCUAUAACUGAAUGACACGAAUGAAGUGAUUCUCACUACGGGUAAGGGGCUGGCUGUUUAGAUUCUUGGGAAUCUUGUCACACACAGCUAAUAGUGCUGAUGAUGGCCGAAAAAUGUAUUCCCCACACUGACCUUUAAUUGUCUUUGUUCUUUUCCAGUCCUCCUUCAUGUGUCCUCCUCCUUAUAUUUGGCUAUCAUUCUGUCGAUUCUUUUGUGUUCCUGAUUUUAGUUUGAUAGCGCAUUUGCGUCACAGUGGUUACAAGUGGUUGAGAACUCGGGGGAGCCUGCAGUCCAGCAGCCCUCUGGCCCCGUUGCCCUGAUCCCUGCUUCGCUGUCGCCAGACUAUCACCCAUUCUUGCCAACACCUCUGGUCACAGGGCUGGUGUGCCAUCACACAUGCAUGCCUAGCUGCUUCUCAGUCACAGACUCAUCAUAAGCUCUUUUGCAUGAUAUCUAUAACCACCCAAAUCUCACCACACUUUCCCCAAGGCGGUAUUUAUUCAUCUCAGAAAAAAAAAAAGAGGCAUUGAGACUAUUCUGGGACUUUUACUACAUGGACAAAUUUGGAAGGCAGUAAAAGCAUUUUAUUUGAAAUAACAAUCAAAAGCCAACUUGGAGCAUAGCAAGAUGGGAUUAGACCACCACAUAAUUAGCCUUACUGGAAUCGGUUCCAAGAAUGUAAGAAUUUACUGAGAGGCAGUAUAUUUUCUGGAACUAUAAUCAAAGGUGGAUGGGGAGGAUAGGCAAGUAAAGACAGCCAUUGGGAACUUGAACUUUCACCAUCUUGGUUAUAGUGUUUUCAAGUAUUAACUGUGCUUGGCAAGCAAAAAGCAGUUAAAAGUCCAAUAACCAAGUGUAAAUUUCACACAUCAAAAUGUCUUGGAAUAGUUCUAGACAAUACUUGGCAAUCAGCUUUGUAAAUGAGUUUUAAACAAGCACUCUUAAUGAUGAAACAAUAUAGCAGAACAAAUUGUGGUAAGAAAAGCAUGUUGUUGAUGUCAAAGAAGUCAGCCUAUUACGGUAAUGCUAACAACACAUUUUUUGUCCACACUGACUGUGGUCCUGGUCAUGGGCUAAUUUCUGGUGCCUGCUUUUAAAAUUAUCAUCCAGGGUGCAUGGAGAAAUGUGGAAACCUUAGGUGUGUUUAAAAAUUGACAAUUCAGUUAAACAAAAUCUCAGAAAUGUAGAACAUAACCUGAUAUAUUGACAUAUAUUAACAAGGGACAAAAUAGACAAUCAUCCUUUUAGUCAUUUAAAUGACACGUUAUUUUUUUUUUUUUAAAGAUUUUACUUAUUUACUUGACAGAGAGAGAGACAGCGAGAGCAGGAACACAAGCAGGGGGAGUGGGAGAGGAAGAAGCAGGCUUCCUGCCAAGCAGGGAGCCCGAUGUGGGGCUCGGUCCCAGGACCCUGGGAUCAUGACCUGAGCCGAAGGCAGACGCUUAACGACUGAGCCACCCAGGCGCCCUUAAAUGACACGUUAUUAACCCAAACAUCACUCUUCUUUUUGUGGCACUCUCCUUAGUGGACAUAGAUCAUUUUUUUAUUUUUGGUUAAUAGUUACAUACAUGCGUUUUAUUUUAUUUUAUUUUAUUAUUUAUUUAUUUAUUUUUAGAGAGAGUGAGUUGAGUGGGGCACCGUGAGAGGGUCAGAGGGAGAGAGAGAAUCGUAAGCAGGCUCCACACUCAGCAUGGACCCCAACGUGACUCAUGACUCAUGACACGGAGAUCAUGACCUGAGCUGAAAUCAAGAGUCGAGUACUUAACUGACUGAGGCACCCAGAUGCCCAUACAUGCAUGCAUUUUAAUUCAAAACAAUUAUUAUAUGAUUCUGAUCAACAUGUUUAUUCAGAAAAUAAAAAUUGCCAGUUCCUUUUAAGAUUUGAAACAAAAUUGGAUUUUUUCAUGACUGAAACAGUAUUUACUAUUUACACUUAAUUUUUUCAUAACACUGUAUUAGAUGGUACUGUGGAGCAUGGCAAAUAAUACAUUUUAUUCUCCUGAGAGUCCAAUACCACAUUUGGAAAGAAAAAAAUAUAUGCUAGUUAAAAUGAAAGUAACUAAGCAAUUAUUAUCAGUCAAAUUCAUAAUUUAGCUAGUAAUAAUUAGGGAAAUUCAAAUGAAGAAGAGUCAGUAGACAAGCCAGGCUGAGAAUUUAUGUUGAAAGGUCAUAUGAUGGUGAUAUUAAGAGAGAUGACUCUGGGACCAGACAGAUCUGGGCUCAAAGUCCAAGCUUUUCCCUUACUUAGCAUGUCUCAGCUCAUUAUUUUUUUUUUUCACCUGUAAAAUGGAGACAAUAACAAUCCUUAACUUUAUAAUAUUGCUGAGAGGAUUAGGUGGGGAAACUUAAUGUAGAAUGCUGGCACAUGGGAAUAAUUUCAUAAAUGUUUCAGUAAAAGGACAAGUAGAGGCUAGGGUUGCAAAAGAAGUGUGACACAUUGCAGGCAAAACAAUAAAAGGGGCCCUUUGACUAUAGUACAAUUAGAUACUGUAUAAACUAUAAGAGAUGUCCUCUAUAAAGAAUUUCUGAGCUUAUAAGAAGAAAGGGAAAUAUUUAAAAGCAGAGAAGAAAAUGAUGAAAAAAGAGGAGAAGGAGCUGAAAGGGAAGAAGGAAGAGAAACAGAAAAGGAGAAGGAGAUGCCUUACAAAGGAAUGACUUUAGGCUGACAAAAAUAUUGUCAAUGGCAUUGAGGGAAGCCAAAAGAAAAUAUAAUAAAAACUUCAACAUUUUGCUGCAAAGUAUACGUUAAUCUGACAUUGUGGCCUACAAAGAACUAUCAUCCUAGAAUUAAAAUAUAAUUAAGGGGCUCCUGGGUGGCUCAGUCAGUUAAGUGUCCAACACUCGAUUUCAGCUCAGGUCAUUGUCUCAGGUUUGUGAGAUUGAGCCCCAUGUGGGAUGCUGUGCUGAGUGUGGAGCCUGCUUAAGAUUCUCUCCCUCUCUCUCUGCCCCUCCCACCACCCCCCUAUUCACACUCUCUAAAGAAAGGAAGAAAGAAAUGAUAUAAUUAAGAUUUGUUUUCAGAUAAACACAUAAAUGAGAGAAUUAGCCACUACUACAGAAGGAUAUACCUUAAGAAAAAAAAUAAUAAUUGUCCCAGAAGGAAUAAGAAAGGUUUCUGAAAUGCAAGAAUGAAUGGCAAGCAAAGACAUUGUUUAAUAUGUAUGUAAAUCUAAAGCAACUGUGCCUUUAGAAUCAAUACCGUUGCUGCUUUUAUUACUUCUUAUUGUCACUAUUUUUAUUAAAGAGCAGAAGCUUUUAGAGGCAUAAACUGGUAGGAACACUUCAGGGGUAAUUUUGAUAAUUUUCUGAAGGCAGAUUAUGGACUAGCUUUAAAAUAAGGAAUCUCUAGGGGCUGCAGUCUUGGUUAGUCUGCUACACUUUCAUUGGUUUACCUUUAGUAAACUUACUAUAUUCUCAUGAUGGAGAUCCUGGAAAGAUACCCUCUAGGCUCUAGCAGGAAGAAGGGAAGUGUAAUCAUUGUGACACAAGUCUAGAUAAUUCUCCAUUUAAAAAGUCUAUUCUCUAAGGAAAAGAUUUUGCCAGAGCUUGACCCCAGCUCAAGACUAUUUCUGCCAUUCCGGCCCCUUCUAGAUUUCCUUUCUUAUGUAAGGAGGAGAAAAGCUGUAUCACUUGAGAAAUACUUGUGAAAUACAUAACACAACUAAACAAUGAAGAUUUAAUCAUAAGAUUAUAGAACGCUUCCAUUCUUCCACAACUGACCACCAUGUCAGUAGGGCUCUGGCAUUAUAACAGUGGAUAACAGCUAAAAGAACAAGACGCAGACUCCCUCAGAGGAGGAAUACUUAAAAGAACCCAGAGUCAAGAGGGGACACAAAAAGAAAGACAGUAGAGGAAAGUGAAGCCUCUGGCACUAUGGUAGUGUUAAAUGCAUCCCGACUCUUAGCCAGAUUAACAAAUUCUCACACUAAAGGCCUAUUUACUGUAGUUUCUGUUACUAACGCAAAAUGUUCGGUUUUCAUAAAAACUCCGAGGCAAGCCAAAAAGAAAAAAAUUUCAGAGCCUGAACAGACAAAGCAAGCACCAGAACCAUAUACUCAUUUAUGAGACUGAUACUGGAAUUCUCAUACUGACUACUUAAAUAGCUAUAGAUAAUUGUUAAGAGUUCCAAAAGAAAAAAGUAAACAAAAUGCAUGAACAAACAGAUAAUAUAAGCAGAAAUAUGGAAUAGCUCAGAAAUAAUCAAAGGGAAAUAACAGAAAUAAAAAAAUAUAACAGAAAUGAAAAAUGCUUUUUGAUCUGUAAACUGGAUAAUGCCAAGGAAAGAAUCAGUGAGUUUGAAGAUAUGUCAGUAGAAACUUCUCAAAUUGGAAUUCAAAGAUUUUUUUCUCUUUUUAAUUAUUUUUUGGAAUAAUAAUAAUAAAGAUAUUCAUCCAUCCAAAGAUAUAUCAAUAAAUGUAAAUGGUUACAUAUGCCAGCAGCAAGACAGAGAUCAUCAGAGUGGCCUAAAACAUAAGCCCCCACUAUAUUUUCUUCACAAGAAAACCAAUUUUAAAUAUAAAAUUCAGAUAACUUGGGGUGCCCGGGUGGCUCAGUCAUUAAGUGUCUGCCUUCAGCUCAGGUCAUGAUCCCAGGGUCCUAGGAUCAAGCCCCAUAUCGGGCUUCCUCCUUGGAGGGAAGCCUGCUUCUCCCUCUCCCACUCCCCCUGCUUGUAUUCCCUCUCUCGCUGUCUCUCUCUGUGUCAAAUAAAUAAAUAAAAUCUUUUUUAAAAAAUAAAAUAAAAAAAUAAAUAAAAUUCAGAUAACUUAAAAGUAAAGGCAUGGAGAAAAAUAUACCAUGGUAACAUUAAUCAAAAGAAAACUGGAGUAGCUAUAUUAAUUUCAAGCAAAGCAGAAUUCAGAACAACAAAAAUUACCAUGGAUUAAAUAAUCCUAGGAUUAUUUAUUUUUUGGAUUAAAUAAUCUUAAGCGGAAUAAUUCUCCAAGAAGACCUAAAAAACCUAAAUAUGAAUGCAUCUAACAACAGAGCAUUAAAUACAUGAAGCAAAGACUGAUAGAGAACUCAAAACAGAUAGAACUGAAAAGAGAAAUAGAUGAUGGACCAGUCCACUAUUACUUUUGGAGACUUCACCCUCCAUCUUUCAUUAAUUGAUAAAUCAAACAGGCAUAAAAUCAGUAAGGAUAUAGUUGACAUGAACAGCUUGGUAUAAUUGAUACUUAUAAACUAUUCUGUCCAACAACAGCAAAGUAUAUAUUCUUCUCACGUUCACAUGGAACAUUCACCAAGAGACCACGUUCAUAGCCAUCAAACAGCUUUAACAAACUUAAAAGAAAUCACAUAAAGUAUGUUCUCAGACCACAGGGAUUAAAUUAGAAAUCAAUUACGGAAAGGUCGACAGAAAAUAUCCACAAAUAUUUUUAAUUAAGCAACACUCUUAUAAAUAACACAGGUCAAAUAAGAAGUCUUAAAAUUAUAAAUUUUUUGAACUAAAUGAAAAUAAAAACAUAACAUCAAAAUUUGUGAGAUGCAGCAAAAACAGUGCCAAGAGGGAAGUUUACAACAUUAAAUACAUCAAUUAGAAAAGAAGAAAGAUCUAAAGUAAAUAACCUAAGUUUCCAUCUUACAAAAGAAGAGACAGAAGAUGAAUUUAGAUGUAAAGAAAGCAGAAGAAAAUAAUAAAAAUUGAAGCAGAAAUCAAUAAAAUUAAAAACAAAAUGAUAAACUCAACAAAAUCGAAAGAUGGUUCUUUAAAAGAUCAAUAAAAUUGAUAAAUCUCUAGACAGGUUAAUAAAAAAUAGAAAAGAGACAAAUUACUAAUAUAAGAAAGAGGGCCAAGUCUGCUGGGUGGCUCAGUCGGUUAAGCAUUGACUCUUGAUUUUGGCUCAGGUCAUGAUCUCAGGGUCAUAAGAUGGAACCAUGUGGGGCUCUGUGCUAAGCGUGGAAACUGCUUAUGAUUCUCUCUCUCCUCCCCCUGUCCUUCCCUGCUUGCACUCUCUCUCUCUCAAGAAGAAAAAAAUAAGAAGAGGAAAGAGGUCCUAUCUCUACUGAUCCUAUGACAUUAAAAGGAUAACACGAGAAUAUUAUGAACAACUCUAUGCCCACACAUUUUAUAACCUAGAUGAAAUGGACCAAUUCCUCAAAAGACACAAUCUACCUAAAACCCAUACAAGGAGAAGCUGACAAUCUGAAUAGGCUUAUAUGUAUUAAAGAAAUUUAUUAAAGUAACUAAUAACCUACCAAAGCUGAAAGAAACAGGCCCAGAUGGGUUUACUGCUAAAAUCUACCAGAUAUUUAAAGAAGAUUACAUACCAAAUCUCUAUAAUCCUUUUCAACAGAUAGCAGCAGAGGGAGUGCUUCCCAACUCAUUCUAUGAGACCAGCAUUAUUAUUAUUUUAUUUAUUUAUUUAUUUAUUUAUUUAUUUAUUUAUUUAUUUAUUUAUUUCUGAGAGAGAGAGAGAGUGGGGAGAGGGGCAGAGGGAGAAGGAGAGAGAGAAUUUUAAGCCGACCCCAUGCUCAGCAGGAAGCCCGAUGUGGGGCUCAAUCUCACGACCCUGAGAUCAUGACCCGAGCCGAAACCAAGAGUCAGGCACUUAACCAACUGAGCCACCCAGGUGCUCCAAGAGAUCAGCAUUAUUUUUAUGCCAAAGUCAGAUAAAAACAUUACAAUAAAGGAAACUACAGACCAAUGUCUCUCAAGAACGUUAGAUGCAAAAUCCUCACAAAAACAUUAGCAAAUCAAUCAAACAGUAAAUGAAAAAAUUGUACACCAAACCAAGGUAUUCCAGGUAUGCAAGGCCAGCUCAAUAUCUAAAAAAAUUAAUGGAAUCUACUACCUAAAUAGUCUUAAAAAAUCAUGUGAUUGUAGCAACUGAUGCAGAAAAAGAAGCUGACAAAAUUCAACACCUAUAAAUGAUAAAAUCUCUCAGAAAACUAAGAACAGAGAACUUUCUCAACCUUAUGAGGAACAUCUACAAAAGAAUUAGAGCUAACAUCAUACUUAAUGGCGAGAAACAGGAUGCUUUCCCGCUAACAUUAGGAUGAAGACAAGUAUGUCCUCUCUUACUACUCCUAUUAAGUAAUAUUGUGGAAGUCCUAGCUAGUGCAAUAAGGUAAUAAAAGGAAAUAAAAUGUAUACGAAUUGGAAAGGAAGAAAAGAACUUUGUUCUUUUCCAUGUGAACUUGAGAAGAAUAUAUACUUUGUCUUUGUUCACAGAUGACAUAAUUGCCUAUGCAGGAAAUGCCAAAGAAUCAACAAAAAACUUCCUGGAACUAAUAAGCAGAAAUAGUGACAUCAUGGGGUAAAAGAUUAAUAUGUAAUAGUUAUUUUUGCUCUCCUAGGUACUAGUAAUAAACAAUUGGAAUCUUAAAUUAGAAACAUACCAUUUACAAUAGUAACAAAAAAACACAAGAAAAGAAAUACUUUGUUACCAGUUUAACAAAAUAUGCACAGGAUCUAUAUGUGGAAAAUUACAAAACUCUAAGGAAAACAAUCAAAGAUGUAAAUAAAUGGAGAGAUAUAGUGUAUUUAUGGUUGGAAUAUCAGUGUCAUCAAGAUGUUAAUUCUUCCUAACUUCAUCUAUAAAUUCAGUGUGGUGUCCUGGUAAGUGAGGAUGGGCAAUAUGGAGCUGCAAGCAAAAAUCCAGGCCAAUAAAGAGGGAGCUGCUUCCUUGGUCCGUCCAGGCUCCUACCAGAAUCUCAGCUAUUUUCAUGUUACUAUUUCAUUGCAAAGGAGUGAGAAAAUUAAAUCCAAAGAAAGAUUAGAAAGAUAAGACAAAGUAAAAGAAAAGCUGUUCUCAAAGCAUUUCCAGGCUGCCUGGAAUGGAGCCCCUCAGACAUAGGAAGAGGCUUAUCACCCACCAGCUGCAUGGCAGACAAAUAACUAAAAAAAAAGUUGCAUCCCAGUAAAUGCUGGCCCCCCAAGAAGACUAGAAUUCUUUGACUUCCAAAGCUUCAUCCUUUUUUUUUUUUUUAAUUAUUAUUUAAGAG
This is a long non-coding RNA of Mirounga angustirostris (Northern elephant seal), 8773 nucleotides long. RefSeq lists it as uncharacterized. Lineage: Eukaryota; Metazoa; Chordata; Mammalia; Carnivora; Phocidae. The record is from RefSeq and is a predicted model, not a curated record. The transcript has 4 exons.